GAACUGCGAUAAGUAAUGUGAAUUGCAGAAUUCAGUGAAUCAUCGAGUCUUUGAACGCACAUUGCGCCCCCUGGCAUUCCGGGGGGCAUGCCUGUCCGAGCGUCAUUGCUGCCCUUCAAGCCCGGCUUGUGUGUUGGGUCGUCGUCCCCUCCGGGGGACGGGCCCGAAAGGCAGCGGCAGCACCGCGUCCGGUCCUCGAGCGUAUGGGGCUUUGUCACCCGCUCGAUAAGGACCGGCCGGGCGCCAGCCGGCGUCUCCAACCUUUUUUUCUCAGGUUGACCUCGGAUCAGGUAGGGAUACCCGCUGAACUUAAGC
RNAcentral lists this unclassified non-coding RNA (315 nucleotides) under plant metagenome. Its description in RNAcentral is "partial contains 5.8S ribosomal RNA, internal transcribed spacer 2, and large subunit ribosomal RNA". The stretch from base 1 to 105 matches the Rfam family "5.8S ribosomal RNA", at positions 50 to 154 of the family's 154-position model. The record is from RNAcentral.